RNAcentral lists this ribosomal RNA (388 nucleotides) under uncultured bacterium. RNAcentral describes it as "bacterial SSU rRNA". It matches the Rfam family "Bacterial small subunit ribosomal RNA", at positions 28 to 417 of the family's 1533-position model. The record is from RNAcentral.
GACGAACGCUGGCGGCGUGCUUAACACAUGCAAGUCGAGCGGUAAGGCCCUUUCGGGGGUACACGAGCGGCGAACGGGUGAGUAACACGUGGGUGACCUGCCCUCAGCUCUGGGAUAAGCCUGGGAAACCGGGUCUAAUACCGGAUAUGACUCCAUGACGCAUGUUGUGGGGUGGAAAGCCCUGUGCGGCUGAGGAUGGGCCCGCGGCCUAUCAGCUUGUUGGUGGGGUGANGGCCUACCAAGGCGACGACGGGUAGCCGGCCUGAGAGGGCGACCGGCCACACUGGGACUGAGACACGGCCCAGACUCCUACGGGAGGCAGCAGUGGGGAAUCUUGCGCAAUGGGCGAAAGCCUGACGCAGCGACGCCGCGUGAGGGAUGACGGCCU